Molecule: long non-coding RNA, 285 nt
Organism: Rosa chinensis
Lineage: Eukaryota; Viridiplantae; Streptophyta; Magnoliopsida; Rosales; Rosaceae
Exons: 4
Source: RefSeq, a predicted model, not a curated record
GAACAAUGCUUUAGAUUAUAAUCGUCUUCUAGUAACUGCUCAGAUAUUUGUGAACCUUGGUUCAGUGGGGGGUGAUCUAGCUUUACGCAGAGAAGGUCAUCUUGAUAAGGUUUCACAUACUACUGCUGGAAGUUAAUUUCUGUGUUGAAGCAAAGGGGACAAGUUGUUGGCAUCUCAAAAUGUACAGCCGUCAUAGUGGUGGCAACUAUGUGGCUUAUGCUCGAGCGAACUCAAGACUCCCACCUGAUCAGUAGUACACGUGGUGUGGAAAGAAAGAAGGUGGGC